RNAcentral lists this ribosomal RNA (1365 nucleotides) under Klebsiella planticola. Its description in RNAcentral is "bacterial SSU rRNA". It matches the Rfam family "Bacterial small subunit ribosomal RNA", at positions 72 to 1439 of the family's 1533-position model. Lineage: Bacteria; Pseudomonadati; Pseudomonadota; Gammaproteobacteria; Enterobacterales; Enterobacteriaceae. The record is from RNAcentral.
UUGCUCUCGGGUGACGAGCGGCGGACGGGUGAGUAAUGUCUGGGAAACUGCCUGAUGGAGGGGGAUAACUACUGGAAACGGUAGCUAAUACCGCAUAAUGUCGCAAGACCAAAGUGGGGGACCUUCGGGCCUCAUGCCAUCAGAUGUGCCCAGAUGGGAUUAGCUAGUAGGUGGGGUAACGGCUCACCUAGGCGACGAUCCCUAGCUGGUCUGAGAGGAUGACCAGCCACACUGGAACUGAGACACGGUCCAGACUCCUACGGGAGGCAGCAGUGGGGAAUAUUGCACAAUGGGCGCAAGCCUGAUGCAGCCAUGCCGCGUGUGUGAAGAAGGCCUUCGGGUUGUAAAGCACUUUCAGCGGGGAGGAAGGCGGUGAGGUUAAUAACCUCGCCGAUUGACGUUACCCGCAGAAGAAGCACCGGCUAACUCCGUGCCAGCAGCCGCGGUAAUACGGAGGGUGCAAGCGUUAAUCGGAAUUACUGGGCGUAAAGCGCACGCAGGCGGUCUGUCAAGUCGGAUGUGAAAUCCCCGGGCUCAACCUGGGAACUGCAUUCGAAACUGGCAGGCUAGAGUCUUGUAGAGGGGGGUAAAAUUCCAGGUGUAGCGGUGAAAUGCGUAGAGAUCUGGAGGAAUACCGGUGGCGAAGGCGGCCCCCUGGACAAAGACUGACGCUCAGGUGCGAAAGCGUGGGGAGCAAACAGGAUUAGAUACCCUGGUAGUCCACGCUCGUAAACGAUGUCGAUUUGGAGGUUGUGCCCUUGAGGCGUGGCUUCCGGAGCUAACGCGUUAAAUCGACCGCCUGGGGAGUACGGCCGCAAGGUUAAAACUCAAAUGAAUUGACGGGGGCCCGCACAAGCGGUGGAGCAUGUGGUUUAAUUCGAUGCAACGCGAAAACCUUACCUGGUCUUGACAUCCACAGAACUUACCAGAGAUGGAUUGGUGCCUUCGGGAACUGUGAGACAGGUGCUGCAUGGCUGUCGUCAGCUCGUGUUGUGAAAUGUUGGGUUAAGUCCCGCAACGAGCGCAACCCUUAUCCUUUGUUGCCAGCGGUCCGGCCGGGAACUCAAAGGAGACUGCCAGUGAUAAACUGGAGGAAGGUGGGGAUGACGUCAAGUCAUCAUGGCCCUUACGACCAGGGCUACACACGUGGUACAAUGGCAUAUACAAAGAGAAGCGACCUCGCGAGAGCAAGCGGACCUCAUAAAGUAUGUCGUAGUCCGGAUUGGAGUCUGCAACUCGACUCCAUGAAGUCGGAAUCGCUAGUAAUGGUAGAUCAGAAUGCUACGGUGAAUACGUUCCCGGGCCUUGUACACACCGCCCGUCACACCAUGGGAGUGGGUUGCUUAAAGAAGUAGGUAGCUUAAC